This 874-nucleotide ribosomal RNA is filed under the name uncultured bacterium. Its description in RNAcentral is "bacterial SSU rRNA". It matches the Rfam family "Bacterial small subunit ribosomal RNA", at positions 8 to 910 of the family's 1533-position model. The record is from RNAcentral.
AGAGUUUGAUCCUGGCUCAGGAUGAACGCUGGCGGCGUGCCUAACACAUGCAAGUCGAGCGAUUCUCUUCGGAGAAGAGCGGCGGACGGGUGAGUAACGCGUGGGUAACCUGCCCUGUACACACGGAUAACAUACCGAAAGGUAUGCUAAUACGGGAUAACAUAUUUUGAUGGCAUCAUCGAAAUAUCAAAGCUCCGGCGGUACAGGAUGGACCCGCGUCUGAUUAGUUAGUUGGUGAGGUAAUGGCUCACCAAGGCGACGAUCAGUAGCCGACCUGAGAGGGUGAUCGGCCACAUUGGAACUGAGACACGGUCCAAACUCCUACGGGAGGCAGCAGUGGGAAAUAUUGCACAAUGGGCGAAAGCCUGAUGCAGCAACGCCGCGUGAGCGAUGAAGGCCUUCGGGUCGUAAAGCUCUGUCCUCAAGGAAGGUAAUGACGGUACUUGAGGAGGAAGCCCCGGCUAACUACGUGCCAGCAGCCGCGGUAAUACGUAGGGGGCUAGCGUUAUCCGGAAUUACUGGGCGUAAAGGGUGCGUAGGUGGUUUUUUAAGUCAGAAGUGAAAGGCUACGGCUCAACCGUAGUAAGCUUUUGAAACUGAGAAACUUGAGUGCAGGAGAGGAGAGUAGAAUUCCUAGUGUAGCGGUGAAAUGCGUAGAUAUUAGGAGGAAUACCAGUUGCGAAGGCGGCUCUCUGGACUGUAACUGACACUGAGGCACGAAAGCGUGGGGAGCAAACAGGAUUAGAUACCCUGGUAGUCCACGCCGUAAACGAUGAGUACUAGGUGUCGGGGGGUUACCCCCCUCGGUGCCGCAGCUAACGCAUUAAGUACUCCGCCUGGGAAGUACGCUCGCAAGAGUGAAACUCAAAUGAAU